CCCAGGCUUGGUGGGAUGCUGGGUCUCAGUAAACUGGGGUCUCUGCUUCCUGUCCUCUCGUGAGAAGACUGGGGCGGCGCAGCCUCCAGCUCCAGUCUGUUUGUCCAGGGAGUGGGGAGCUGGCGCAGUUUGUCAAGCAGCGGGGGUCGGUGGUCACGCCAGCCCUCUGUGGUCAGGGCCAGUGAGUGUCAGCAGGCGGGACACUGUUUGGACAGAAAGGACCUGCCUUUCUGUCAACACUGCAGCAUUUGUCUCCUGCCGCCCCCGUGGGAGUUUGUUACCGGAAGUCUUUGGGUCUCCCAGGGCAGCGAACACUCUCAAGACGAGCCGCAGGCAGCUGCUGGGCAGGACUCCGGCGUGGUUCCAUUCUCUGGCUUGGCCAAUAAGUCCAAGUCGAGUUUGGUUCAAAGAAUAUUUCUAGUUGUCUACAGGAAAGUUGGAAAGAAAGAAUUGCUUCUGUUGUUUGAUGAGCGGCUUUUGCCAUGCAGGUGGAGGAAGGCUGUGGCCCAGGAAACAGGCGAGUGUACAAACAAAGCAUCUGCUCUAUAAAUAGCUCCCUCCCCCACCAGGCGUGACUCAGGGGACCUGGGCCAGUGGCCCCAACUGUUCAGGCUGACAAAUCCCUUGUUGCUUAUGGAAACAUGGCAAAAGCAGCUUGUAAUUUUUUAUUCUCUAUUCUUGUUUAGGCUUUGGAGAGGGAGAGGGAUGACUUUCCUUCCAUGUCAGAUUAUAACCCACAUCACUGCUGAUCUCGAAAAUCAUCGGAAGACAGAUGUGGAAGGAAUGGAGCUCUGCGUCCUGCCGUUCCAAAGUCCUGAAUGAGCAGGAUCCUGGCUCCAAUAGAAGGAAAAUCAUGCAUAGCUGCUGUGAACCUGUAACCUUGCCACUUUCCCUGUUGAUUGGAGAUGUGAUCUUGGCAACAGGAAAAUCAUCUUCUCUUUUGAAAACAGUGAUUAUUUACAGGGAAAGUGUAGGUUGUUGUUUGUUGCUUAGUCGCUAAGUCAUGUCUGACUCUUUUGUGACCCCAAAGACUGUGUUCCACCAGGGUCCUCUGUCCACGGGAUUUCUCAGGCAAGAAUACUAGAGUGGGUUGUCAUCUUCUUCUCCAGGGGAUCUUCCCAGAUCAAGGAUCAAACCUGCAUUGGUUCUUUACUGCUGAGCUACCAGGGAAGUGCCUUUCAGAGUUCUAGUUCACUCUGAAUGGUUUCCUUUAUAAUUCUGUGUAUUUCAUUAAUUUAAAAACAUUAUGCCAUGAAGGUAUCCAUAGACCUUGCCAGACUGUUCUUCGAAUCCAUGCACAGAAGGUGUUGGGACCCUGUGGGAGGGGUGCACCCUUGGACUGGAGGAGGGCGGAGGCUGUGCAGGUCCUGGCAGAAGUGCCUCUGUUGCCCUCCAUACCAGCAUUUGCAGUGAGGUGGGGGGGGGGUGACCCUCAUUAGCUAUUAGGACAAAUUAUAUGCCUAUUCAUUUAUGUACAGAAUAAUGACACAAUUACAUGUGUGGAAUGUACAUGGAAUUUUGACUUAGAUGAAAUUACCUUUUGAAGCAAUUUUUUUUAAUCGCUUAAAACUGCAAAGGUGAGUUUCUUACAUUCAGUAAGGACAAGUUGAUGUAAAUAGAUAGAAAGACAAGGUUUAGCAGACAAUAUAGCUUAAAAGUUCUUUUUUGGGGGGACUGGUUUUUUGAGGUAGUGAAGCAUGUAGUAAUUCGUGAUAUAACCCCUUUUGGAGUAGGUUGACACUGAUGUUCAAUUGAACUUUGAUGAAUAAUUCAUUUCACAUGCCCAAGUGCAGAUAUAUGAGGCAUUUGAAUCACAGUAGAAUUCACUACCAUGUAUAAAAUAGAUAGGUAGUGGGAAGUUGCUGCAUAGCACAGGGAACUCAGUUGGGUGCUCUGUGAUGACCUAGAUGGGUGGGAUGGGGGUGUGUGGCAGGGAGGUUCAAGAGGGAGGGGAUAUAGGUAUACAUAUAAUUGAUUCACAUUGUUGUACAGAAGAAAAUAACACAACAUUGUAAAGCAAUUAUACUCCAGUUGAAAAACUAAAUUCCUGUACCCAAAGGGGGAAAAAAAAAGAAAUAGAUGAUUAUACUUAACUUCCGUAAUCAGAAUCCAAAGUACCACAACACCAGAAACUUUAACACAAUCGGCAAGAGCAGAAGCAAUUGUAUCUGCUUCACUGGCUGAAGCAAAGUCAUUAAAAAAAGUUUAACAACAAUUUCAUUUCUUGUUAGUUUCUUAUUUUCUCUUAGUUCUUUUGUGUGAUUUUCUAAGCCAGACAGUUUCUUAGGAAGGCAUAUCACGCAGGUAAGGAUUCCAUAGAUUGUGUGUGUCUGAUAGGCAGUCCCACCACCAGCAAGCAUGGGAACUGCUGUGUGUCAGCUGCUCCAUCUGGCCUGGGGAGAUGUGCACGCAGGCUCAGAGUCGUCUGUCUUUCUUUUGCUUCUGGAGAUGGUCCUGUCAUUGGUGAUCUUCUCAGACAACCUAGGACAAUAAUCAGGCCCAUAUUCCCUGGCCAAGAUUCCAUGUGUG
Molecule: long non-coding RNA, 2529 nt
Organism: Capra hircus (goat)
Lineage: Eukaryota; Metazoa; Chordata; Mammalia; Artiodactyla; Bovidae
Source: Ensembl